CCCUCCGUUCCCUCCCUCCCCUCCCUUCUCUCCGAUAGGUUAAACUGAAACAAACACGGGAAAGUACAGCCGAGUAAGACUGAGGUGGUGCGUCACGUGCAGGGGACACAGGAGAUACGGUGUACCUGAACACGGUGAUCUAGAUUGUUCUGCUCUUAUGGUUCCAGGUGCAUGUAAAACCAUCAGCUGUUGUAUCAGGAUGUGAGAUGCGGCCACGCCUCAAAACAUCGUAGAAGAGGGAACAAACCCAAGCAAGCCACCCACGUGGUUACCAAAGAGUGUGCGUGUAGUGGAUCAUAUUAUGUUAUAUGUAUAUUAGUAGAACAUGAAUAUUUCUGUUGUAUAAUUGUAAUAGUAAAUAUUAGUGUAGUAAAGAUGCAUGAGUCCUACCCCCUCCCCCAACACACACACACAAACACACGGAUCUUGAUGGGUUUUUCCUUUUGUUUGUUUUUUUGUUGUCCCUUUUUGGUGUUUCGAGGCUGUAAAUUACGCUUGAGUGCUAAGUGUUGUAUAAUAAGAGUUUACACUCAGCCUAAAGUGCUUCAUAAUUGAGCCGCGGUGACAACACGAGCGGUGAACACGCACUUCCUGAAAGGACGAGGCGCCACGAUGGGGUCAGCACGUACAGCCAUCGGGAACAGUGUAGGCCAUGUCCCAAUCCAAUAUAACGCAGUUUUCCCUGCUCCUGUGAUGAUUUGUCUGGACUCCAUCGUGCUCAGGUGCUGCUAUCCGUUUCGGAUACGACAAUCCGUCCGUCCGUCUCUGCGUAAUCAGACGCUCGGAUUCAGCAGCACGAGAACCAUCACGGAGCAAUAAGAUGGCUAUGAGGCCGCGUCGGCCAUCUGCUUUCCCCUUUUAUUAAGUUGUUGGAGUCGAUACGCUUGUUUGGAGUGGACUUUCACACCCCUCUGAUCCCAGGUCCCAGUUCACUCUUGGUGUGUUUACUCAGAAGAACGUCAGAACAUCCGUCAAAGCACAAAGCACAGUGGAGAGGAAGAGGAGCAAAGGACGAGGAUGACGUAAAGUUGAGGAAAAGCAGAAGAAGGAAGGAGUCAGGUUUGUGGUCUUGGACAACCGAGUCCUUUAACGCUAAUUUUAUCCAGAAGAUUUAGCACGCUUUUACGCAGUUAAUAACGAGGCCAUAGAAAUGAAAAAUAUACAGAAUAGAAAUAUAACCAAUUUUCUCCUCCAUCUUUAAUGUUUAUAUACGUGUUUUAAAUGUAUUGAUAAUGUUCUUGACUUGCUUCUGGUUGUAAUUACUGCCGCCAUUUUUUAUGUUAUUGUAUCUACAAGCUAACACUGAUGUGUCCACUCAUAACCUACUCUAACUGCAUAGUCUAGAGUAACUAGGAAAAUUACCGUAACUUCUGUUGUUGCAGAGCUACCGUAAAACCCUGAACCAGUGCACAAAUCCAAUAAGGUUUAUGAACACAUCAUAUUUAUUACACAUUGCACCCUGGUAGUUUACUCCAGCAGUCACUGUAGUUUCUUUGUAUUUAGUGUAUUUACGGUAGCUGUGUUACUCCAGCAGUUACGGUAGUUUCUUUGUGUUUUAGUGUAUUUACGGUAGCUGUGUUACUCCAGCAGUUACGGUAGUUUCUUUGUGGUUUAGUGUAUUUACAGUAGCUGUGUUACUCCAGCAAUUACGGUAGUUUUUUUUUUGUUUAGUGUAUUUACGGUAGCUGUGUUACGGUAGCUGUGUUACUCCAGCAGUUACGGUAGUUUCCUCUUGUUUUUGUGUAUUUAUGGUACGGUCAGUGUAUUUGGUUUAGUGUAUUGUAUAAAACUGGCCAGAAACCAGAGCCAUAAGCGUACCUAGCAUAAAAUAAAAUGAUGCCACGUCCACAUGUUUGUGUGUAAAACAACACUUGAUUGUUAGUAAUUCUUUUGUAGUUUUCAUGAAGUACGUUAUUUCUGAAGCACAAAUAUAUAUCAAUACAUCUUAUAAAUAUACAUACGUGUCAAAAACAAAUCAUGAAUCGAAAUUCAACGAACAAACAUAAAUCGAUAAAUAGAUUUACAGACAUGAAAUGAAACCACGACAAAUAAUCCAUGCGAACAGGAAAACCAGUCACGCUCAAAUCAUUUCAUCCACAGGCUCUUUAUUGAUAUUUUUUUUUACAGCAGGUGAUCAAUUUUACUCCGAUACAUGAUAAGAAACAAUGCUGUUAUGAUAGAUAAAUAUACGCACAUCUGAUUUCUCCUUGGUUAUAUCAGUUUUUUAAAACUCGGCUGAGAAAACUGAAAUUUGCUUUCCGACGUUCCAGCAGGUUUUACACCGAAGCUUUACACUUAAUUUUUUUUUAAAAUACAUUUUCACUGAACUGUUGGUUUAAGUGUUUUUUAAAUUUAUUUAUUUGAAAGUAAAAUACUCUGCAAUAUUCUCACAAAAAAUACUAAGAAAUGACUAUCGUAAAUUGAAAUUUGUAUAGAUUUCAUCACUGAAUGUCGUAUAUCGUGUGUGUGUGUAUACCAAUUAUCGCCUCGUGUCUAAUACGAGUCAUGCUAACUACUUGUGAAGAUAUAAACAAACGGUGGCGUAAAGCUGAUGCACGAAUAUGGCUUAAUUAACUCGAUAAACCUGAUCAGCACGUCCAUCAUUUUUCUCGUUUCUAACACAAAUAAGAUGUAUAGGUUUUACUAUAGCACUAGAUAAUAUUAAACAUCGUUUGUUUCUAGGUUCUUAGUCAGUAUACGGUUUUCGACACUUCAAUCACGUUGAUCAAUAAGGCUCGGCUUGUACUCUAAUCACAAAAAAAUAUAUAGAAACAGUAAACAGUCGUCGUAACAGUCAUCGUACAGCGAGAAUUCGGCCGUGUCCCAAACGCUAAAAUUCACGCCUACUUACUUUAACAUCAGCCAUUUUGUAAAUAAAAUUUAAAAAAUCCCAAACACACACUAAAACAUAGCGUCGACUCUAACGAUAUCGUUAUAAGCGUAAAUGCGGUGUUCUUUCGAUUUUUUAGGAUCAGCGUGGUGCUGUUUUUAGCUUCAGAGAAACUCUGUACUGCUGCCUGUUGCUUUAGCAGUGGGAAAUGGCGGCAAAAUAAAAUCCAAAGUUAUCUCCGACAUGGUGCUGGAGAUGUCGGAUGUGUUUGGCACCGCUAUGUGUUAGCUAGCUAAGUUAUAUCGAGCACGAAUAUAAUUUUAUUAACCAUCCUAACCACUAAGUAACAAGUUUUCCCGCUAACUCUAUUGUUUGCUAUUAGCGUUUGUGAUACAGCCUUUAAAUAGAUUCAUUUUUUUCUGACCGAAUGUCGAGCAUGUUGUGAUCAAAACCACAUCACUGCCACACUUUUUUCAAAUUUUAUUAUUUUUCACGCGAGAAAGAGAAGGACGAGACGUACGGCUUGUUUGGCACACAGCGCCCCCUACGGAGCUGGAGGAAUUUACUUCUUUUUUUUUUUGUUGUUUUUUUUGCAAUGUUCACACCACCAGCCAGUGAUGAAGCUAGAAGAAAACAGAAAACACAUGAGAACAUCACAUGCAGCUCUUAGGAUUUGUUUUGGUCAAGUGCAAAAGUUAGCAUCCCCUAAGAAGUAAAUGAAGAAAAAUUAUAUGAAAGAAAAGUAGUUUUUUUUUAUUAUUAUUAUGCAACAAAAAUGGUUAAAUUGUGCACGUUUAAGACAAGCUUAAAAGUCUCAUCUGAACGUACCGUGAACUGCCGCACUUCACCGCGCUCCACCAGGUGAUGCUCCGUCUCUGGCGUGAUUGCAUACGCCAGUUUCUACAACCAGAAAACAAAUGAUUCAAAACAAUUUAGUCAUAAGUUGGCGACACUCGAAACAUUUCGAAACCUUCAGGGUUCUGUGGUUGUGCCUCUGAGGGAACCUUACAACAAAGUGAUGUCCUCUCGUAAAUGGUUCCAAGCAGGAUCCUUUAGGAAGCUAAGAAGCCAGAGAACACUUUAAGAACCCCCUGAGGAA
This is a long non-coding RNA of Ictalurus furcatus (blue catfish), 3929 nucleotides long. RefSeq lists it as uncharacterized. Lineage: Eukaryota; Metazoa; Chordata; Actinopteri; Siluriformes; Ictaluridae. The transcript is spliced from 6 exons. The record is from RefSeq and is a predicted model, not a curated record.